UACGUAGGGGGCAAGCGUUGUCCGGAUUUAUUGGGCGUAAAGAGCGUGUAGGCGGCCAAGCAGGUCAGCUGUGAAAACUCGAGGCUCAACCUCGAGACGUCGGUUGAAACCGCUUGGCUAGAGUCCGGAAGAGGAGAGUGGAAUUCCCGGUGUAGCGGUGAAAUGCGCAGAUAUCGGGAAGAACACCCGUGGCGAAGGCGGCUCUCUGGGACGGUACUGGACGCUGAGACGCGAAAAGCGUGGGGAGCGAACGAGG
RNAcentral lists this ribosomal RNA (256 nucleotides) under uncultured bacterium. RNAcentral's name for it is "partial 16S ribosomal RNA". It matches the Rfam family "Bacterial small subunit ribosomal RNA", at positions 524 to 777 of the family's 1533-position model. The record is from RNAcentral.